Molecule: long non-coding RNA, 1968 nt
Filed under: Gallus gallus (chicken)
Lineage: Eukaryota; Metazoa; Chordata; Aves; Galliformes; Phasianidae
Description: lncRNA (ENSGALG00010004208.1)
Source: RNAcentral
CGUCAGAUGCCGAGAGGCUUCAGUCGCUUCUGUUCCACUCAGUCAUCACAGCAAAAGGUUGCGAUGCUUUUCCCACCAAUACACGUGCACCAGAGAUGACCUAUCCCUGUGAGGGUAAGGAGGCCUUCCAAACAACAUCAGCAGUGUCAUCCCAGCAAAUGACAGUCUGAUCAAUAGCUGUGAUUGCAAUAAGUCUGGACAUAACUAGGCACGGUGGAUCAAUAUUGUUACAUGAGCUGGUUGCACUAACUCCAGUGCCAAGUUACUGCCUCCUAAUUAGGUUGAUCACAAGCUAACCAUUAUCAAUACAUUUGUUUGAACUAGUCCUUAAGUACAUGAUUGCGUGAGUGUUUCCCUUUCUCAAAAAACCAAUACACAAUCAAUUGUAAAACAAACAGUUCUGUUUCAAUUCAAUACAUUCAAAUAUGAGGGCCAGAUCUUCAGAGAUGCUGUUAUCUUUUCCCAUUGACCUCACUGGAGAAACCAAUAAAAAAAGGAAAAGUGAGUCAAUAGCCUAAGUCAGCGUGGUCUGCAGGGCUCUUCAGCUAGCCAGAUGUAGAUGCCUGCUUUAGGGAAAUGUAUGCACUCCUACAUCCAGCCAGCUGAGGGGCUCCCCAGGCUCCAACUUAGUCAUCCUCAUUAUAGAUACCUAUGAGCUCAUUUCCAGGGGAUUUAGCUUAAGCUAAUGUAAACCACCAUAUCUGUGUUCCAGAUUCAAGGUAGAAUUCAAGACCCAGAAUUCCUGUUUCAUUUUGCAGUCUAUAAAAAUACUAAUUUUAAUCCAUAUCAGAAAAGAAAAAAGUGCUGUGAAUUUCUUGUAGAUUUUGGACAAUGAGCCUUGAUUUCUCAAUCAAUUCUGUGUCUUAAACAGGAUAACCAUGAGUUGAGUAUGAACAUUUUUGGGUUCUAAGAUGCAAAACUUUCACUGAUCUUGUGAAAGCUUUCAUUUGGAAGUUGAAUUUAUGCAAGUGUGUGUUAAUAACUUGGCAUCUUAAAGGGGUUAUUUUGAGUGCUAUCUUUAACUUCAUUACCAUUACAUUAUUUCAAAGAGAGGAUGGCAGCUUGUGGCCUAGUACCUUGAACCAGUUUAAAAAUUCCUAUGUAGUGUUUGUGAUAGUCCACAGUCAAGAGGAGAUUUCAACAGUGGGAAGCAAUGGAGCAGUCUUUGGGAGACCAAGAGAUGUUUACUAUCAUUACACAAUGCUGACAUUCUUCUACAUAUUUUUCUGCAUAAAGUGAAAUGGCAAUCAAAACUGAAAUAGGUCUAAAUCAAACAAAUACCAAAAUCACAUGGUAAAACUCAAUCCAGACAGUCUCAUAGUCUCCUUUUUUGUUGUUGUUUGUUUUUUUUUUUUGAUCACAAUUAUUGAAGGCUGAACCCCUCAGUGUCUUGCCUCACUCUAGGAUGCUUUUAGGAACAGGAAUAAAGAAAAAAAAAACAUCUUUAAAGGUGAAAUCUUUGUACUGUAAAGUGUUUUCUUGAUUAGAAGAAACCUUAUUUUUAUAACCAUGAUUCUGGGGGUAAAGGGAAAUGUAAAGGUAAUUCUGACACUUACAUGAACAGUGUUUUCCUGUCAUACAUUCCCACGCCUCACGAGGUUUCUGCUAAGCACUGUAGAAGUUAUUGUGGGAUAGGGGACAAUUGGUAUUACCACUAUAAAAGCUUCCCCUAAGUUGUCCCCAGCAUGAAUCAGAAGUAUAAAUUGCUGUGCCUAAGUGGGAGAGGUAAGAAAUAGACUGUUCCCACUGGAAAGAUAAGCCACUGGAAAUGAGCCCAAAAAUUUGUGUUUAGGAGUCUCAGAGCUGGAAUACUGCUACAGUGGAUUACCAGGGAAACCAGAAAUGUGCAGGAACCAGAGCCUAAACAUCUGACUGUGUUUGCCAGGCAUAUAUUUUGGAGAGAGAUGCAGUGUGCAUAAAGAGCUCAGAUUUACUUUGCAGCAUAUCUCAAUAAAGAGAUAUUUUCUC